This 1502-nucleotide ribosomal RNA is filed under the name Bacillus subtilis. RNAcentral describes it as "bacterial SSU rRNA". It matches the Rfam family "Bacterial small subunit ribosomal RNA". Lineage: Bacteria; Bacillati; Bacillota; Bacilli; Caryophanales; Bacillaceae. The record is from RNAcentral.
GACGAACGCUGGCGGCGUGCCUAAUACAUGCAAGUCGAGCGGACAGAUGGGAGCUACAUUGGAUGUCCCUGAUGUUAGCGGCGGACGGGUGAGUAACACGUGGGUAACCUGCCUGUAAGACUGGGAUAACUCCGGGAAACCGGGGCUAAUACCGGAUGGUUGUUUGAACCGCAUGGUUCAAACAUAAAAGGUGGCUUCGGCUACCACUUACAGAUGGACCCGCGGCGCAUUAGCUAGUUGGUGAGGUAACGGCUCACCAAGGCAACGAUGCGUAGCCGACCUGAGAGGGUGAUCGGCCACACUGGGACUGAGACACGGCCCAGACUCCUACGGGAGGCAGCAGUAGGGAAUCUUCCGCAAUGGACGAAAGUCUGACGGAGCAACGCCGCGUGAGUGAUGAAGGUUUUCGGAUCGUAAAGCUCCGUGAGACUGUUGUUAGGGAAGAACAAGUACCGUUCGAAUAGGGCGGUACCUUGACGGUACCUAACCAGAAAGCCACGGCUAACUACGUGCCAGCAGCCGCGGUAAUACGUAGGUGGCAAGCGUUGUCCGGAAUUAUUGGGCGUAAAGGGCUCGCAGGCGGUUUCUUAAGUCUGAUGUGAAAGCCCCCGGCUCAACCGGGGAGGGUCAUUGGAAACUGGGGAACUUGAGUGCAGAAGAGGAGAGUGGAAUUCCACGUGUAGCGGUGAAAUGCGUAGAGAUGUGGAGGAACACCAGUGGCGAAGGCGACUCUCUGGUCUGUAACUGACGCUGAGGAGCGAAAGCGUGGGGAGCGAACAGGAUUAGACUACCCUGGUAGUCCACGCCGUAAACGAUGAGUGCUAAGUGUUAGGGGGUUUCCGCCCCUUAGUGCUGCAGCUAACGCAUUAAGCACUCCGCCUGGGGAGUACGGUCGCAAGACUGAAACUCAAAGGAAUUGACGGGGGCCCGCACAAGCGGUGGAGCAUGUGGUUUAAUUCGAAGCAACGCGAAGAACCUUACCAGGUCUUGACAUCCUCUAAUUCGCGCGACAAUCUAGAGAUAGGACGUCCCCUUCGGGGGCAGAGUGACAGGUGGUGCAUGGUUGUCGUCAGCUCGUGUCGUGAGAUGUUGGGUUAAGUCCCGCAACGAGCGCAACCCUUGAUCUUAGUUGCCAGCAUUCAGUUGGGCACUCUAAGGUGACUGCCGGUGACAAACCGGAGGAAGGUGGGGAUGACGUCAAAUCAUCAUGCCCCUUAUGACCUGGGCUACACACGUGCUACAAUGGACAGAACAAAGGGCAGCGAAACCGCGAGGUUAAGCCAAUCCCACAAAUCUGUUCUCAGUUCGGAUCGCAGUCUGCAACUCGACUGCGUGAAGCUGGAAUCGCUAGUAAUCGCGGAUCAGCUUAUGCCGCGGUGAAUACGUUCCCGGGCCUUGUACACACCGCCCGUCACACCACGAGAGUUUGUAACACCCGAAAGUCGGUGAGGUAACCUUUUAGGAGCCAGCCGCCGAAGGUGGGACAGAUGAUUGGGGUGAAG